AUUGAACGCUGGCGGCAUGCCUUACACAUGCAAGUCGAACGGCAGCACGGGAGCAAUCCUGGUGGCGAGUGGCGAACGGGUGAGUAACGUAUCGGAACGUGCCCAGUCGUGGGGGAUAACGCAGCGAAAGCUGUGCUAAUACCGCAUACGAUCUAUGGAUGAAAGCGGGGGAUCGCAAGACCUCGCGCGAUUGGAGCGGCCGAUAUCAGAUUAGGUAGUUGGUGGGGUAAAGGCCCACCAAGCCGACGAUCUGUAGCUGGUCUGAGAGGACGACCAGCCACACUGGGACUGAGACACGGCCCAGACUCCUACGGGAGGCAGCAGUGGGGAAUUUUGGACAAUGGGCGCAAGCCUGAUCCAGCAAUGCCGCGUGCAGGAUGAAGGCCUUCGGGUUGUAAACUGCUUUUGUACGGAGCGAAACGGCUUCCACUAAUACUGGGGGCUAAUGACGGUACCGUAAGAAUAAGCACCGGCUAACUACGUGCCAGCCGCCGCCGUAA
RNAcentral lists this ribosomal RNA (500 nucleotides) under uncultured bacterium. RNAcentral describes it as "partial 16S ribosomal RNA". It matches the Rfam family "Bacterial small subunit ribosomal RNA", at positions 30 to 523 of the family's 1533-position model. The record is from RNAcentral.